Molecule: ribosomal RNA, 254 nt
Filed under: uncultured bacterium
Lineage: Bacteria
Description: partial 16S ribosomal RNA
Rfam family: Bacterial small subunit ribosomal RNA
Source: RNAcentral
GAUCCUGGCUCAGAAUCAACGCUGGCGGCGCGCUUAACACAUGCAAGUCGAACGAGAAAGUGGAGCAAUCCAUGAGUAAAGUGGCGUACGGGUGAGUAACACGUGGGUAAUCUGCCUCUGGGUGGGGAAUAACUCUGGGAAACCGGAGCUAAUACCGCAUAAGCCCGCAAGGGGAAAGGCGAAAGUCGCCGAGAGAGGAGCCCGCGGCUGAUUAGCUAGUUGGUGGGGUAAAAGCCUACCAAGGCAGAGAUCGG